RNAcentral lists this ribosomal RNA (372 nucleotides) under uncultured bacterium. RNAcentral describes it as "bacterial SSU rRNA". It matches the Rfam family "Bacterial small subunit ribosomal RNA", at positions 138 to 509 of the family's 1533-position model. The record is from RNAcentral.
CGGGGAUAACCGAUGGAAACGUCGCCUAACCCCCAAUAACACAUCAGACCGCAUGAUCCGAUGUUGAAAACCCUGGUGGUCACGGAUUGGCUCGCGUCCCAUUAGCUAGUCGGCGGGGUAACGGCCCACCGAGGCGACGAUGGGUAGGGGUUCUGAGAGGAAGGUCCCCACAAUGGAACUGAGACACGGUCCAUACUCCUACGGGAGGCAGCAGUGAGGAAUAUUGGUCAAUGGGCGGAAGCCUGAACCAGCCAUGCCGCGUGCGGGAAGACGGCCCUAUGGGUUGUAAACCGCUUUUGAGUGGGAGCAAUAAGGACGUCGUGCACGUCUGAUGAGAGUACCAUUCGAAUAAGCAUCGGCUAACUCCGUGCC